Molecule: long non-coding RNA, 1633 nt
Organism: Pan troglodytes (chimpanzee)
Lineage: Eukaryota; Metazoa; Chordata; Mammalia; Primates; Hominidae
Exons: 2
Source: RefSeq, a predicted model, not a curated record
ACUGCUGAAAACCCAUCCUUGGCUGCCAGCAGGACCUGAAGCUGAGGUCACUUCUCUCUCUGGAAAGACUCUGAGGAUGGAAAAGUACAGCCAGCCCCCAGAGAUCAACUGAUUGUUCGUGCAAAGUCCCUUUUGGAAAACAGAACCCCUGACCGAGAUCUGGAGGACAGACUCCGGUUGCUGGCCAGGUCCCUGCGGCAGCUGUGAUGGGAUCAGAUUCCCAGGAAAGGAGGAGGCUGCCACAUUUGCAAAGGGAGCAAAGAGGACAGGCAGGCAGCCUCUGAAACCAGAGACAGACACAGAGAGAAACAGAGAGUGAGAAAAUGCUCCCCCGAAGACAUAGUGAGAUUAUUUUCUGUAAACCUGUAAGGGAAGACAAAGUUACACAGUGAAUCCACCUUCUGAAAAGCAACAGGCAGACAGGACUGAGGACCAUGCUCUUAAGGGGAGCCGUGAUGGAGCCGGGAGGAGAGGCGCAUCCUCAGCAGAGCUUCCCUCCCUUGCACACGAGCUGACGGCGUGAACGAGGGUGUCGGGGUUGGUGCAACUAUAGAAGGGAAAGGCUGGGCGGGGGUCACACAUACCUCAGUGGCAGGCAGGCAGGCGGCAGGCAGGGCGCGCUCUCCGGGCAGUCUGAAGGACUGCGGGAAUGUGGCGGGGUUUAGAGACAGGCAACAGGAAACCACUCAGAGCUCUGGGCUGGGUCUAUCUCCCCUCCACCCCGUGGUCCCUCCUCCUCCUGUCUCCUCCUUCCCCCGGCCUCCUCCUUCUCCCAUAGCCAAAGCUGUCUCUGUCUUUCAUUUCUUUCCUCCUCUUUUUGCGGUGGGCUGUCCUGACCAAACGUCCGAACCCUGCCUGCCUCAUCUGUUCCGGGGCUGCUGCCUAAACCGACUCACAGAGUGCCAGGGCUGGACAGGCCUGGAGGGAUGACCCAGAACAGCCUCUUUCUUGUUCAGAGGGCAAGUGAGGCCUGGAGACUGCAAGGAAUUACCCAAUGGCCCCCAGGGGCAGAACCAGGCCCAGGUGUCUUGAUCUUCUAACCAGUGAGCUUUACAGGAGUCCUCCCUAAUAUUAGGCAAUGCUGAGAAGGGCCAAGCAAUUCAAGGGGGUUGUAUUUGCCACAAAGGCAAGGCCAGGACUUACCACUGUACAGACAAGACAAGCUGCUACUAGUGGUAUCAUCCUUGAUGAUUUGGAACUGGUCUUAAAAAAAAAAAAAAUCCCACUCAAACUCCACUUGUACCACUGAUAGACACAUAAGGGAUUAGACAUCUAGCUGGUGGACCUGUGCCACCAGUAUUGAACAGAUAAGGUAAUUGAUGAUAUUGAUGAUAAUCAUAGGAGUAAUAAUAGCCAAAGUUUACUGAGGAUUUAAUAAUCUUCACAGCAACCCCUUAUCUUAGGCAUUGUAAUUAUGACCAUUUUAAUAAUAAGGAAACAUAGAUGCUAAGUAACUUGCCUAUGAUCACCUGGCAAAAAGUGGUAUGAGAGGGCUGAUUCUACGUUUCAACUUGGGUCACUCCUGUUGUAUAUGAACUGCUCAGUGCAACAGGUCUUGGUUGAAUGUUUAUUUCGUGCCUAACACUCUGGGAGGUAUGAGAAUUAAUAAAUACCUGGUCCUUGUCCUCAAAAA